AUAGCGUAUAUUAAAGUUGUUGCGGUUAAAAAGCUCGUAGUUGAACCUUGGGCCUAGCCGGCCGGUCCGCCUCACCGCGUGCACUGGCUCGGUUGGGCCUUUCCUUCUGGAGAACCGCAUGCCCUUCACUGGGUGUGCUGGGGAACCAGGACUUUUACUCUGAACAAAUUAGAUCGCUUAAAGAAGGCCUAUGCUCGAAUACAUUAGCAUGGAAUAAUAGAAUAGGACGUGCAGUUCUAUUUUGUUGGUUUCUAGGACCGCCGUAAUGAUUAAUAGGGACAGUCGGGGGCAUCAGUAUUCAAUCGUCAGAGGUGAAAUUCUUGGAUUGAUUGAAGACUAACUACUG
This 346-nucleotide ribosomal RNA is filed under the name uncultured eukaryote. RNAcentral describes it as "SSU rRNA". It matches the Rfam family "Eukaryotic small subunit ribosomal RNA", at positions 594 to 945 of the family's 1831-position model. The record is from RNAcentral.